RNAcentral lists this non-coding RNA (26 nucleotides) under Cricetulus griseus (Chinese hamster). The record is from RNAcentral. Lineage: Eukaryota; Metazoa; Chordata; Mammalia; Rodentia; Cricetidae.
GCAAUAGUGACUGGAUGAAGAGGCUC